Molecule: long non-coding RNA, 6317 nt
Organism: Oreochromis aureus
Lineage: Eukaryota; Metazoa; Chordata; Actinopteri; Cichliformes; Cichlidae
Source: Ensembl
UAUGCAGCUAAAAUAAAGAUGGAUAAAACCUAAGUAGAAUAAUAAUCAAAGUUCAGUGAUGGAGGUUUUUAGUUUUCCCUUCUUUGUUUGUUUUUUUUUUUUUUUUAACCUCAGUGCUGGAAGCACUUUCUGACAUGUCAAACCAAACAAAACAGCAAAGUAAUUAUUCAUCGAAUCUUAGAGGCUCAGCAGCAUGAGACACACUCCAGCCGAUUCUUGGUGAAAAAAUAUAUUUAAGUCAAGCUUGUGUUUCCAUCUGGUCCAAAAAUUAUAAAACUACAAAAAUCUAAAUAUAUAUGCAUUUAAUUUUUUCUGUUCAGUAACUCUGUGAACAUCCAUCAGUGAUAUGAGUGUCUCUGUGAUGCUGUGAGAAUACAGCAGUGCGAGUCAGGUUAUUUUGUAUUAAUGGUGUAAAUUUGUAAAGCAGGAGCAGCUCCUGUAACACACAGGUGCUGUCAUGUCGAGUUAGUUUGUCACAAACCGUUUUUGUGGAUUUGGUGUUUAAAACAGCAAAAGGACAAAAGAUGGGAAUUUAGAUCAACCACAGUGAUGAUACUCAUGAAGAAGCAAGACAGCAGAGUGUCAGUGUGGCACCGACUCAUUUUGUCAGAAUAGGUGUUUUAUGUGUGUUUGGACAUGAACGUUUAAGCUCUUAAAUGUGUUUAAAAAACACAUUUUAAAUGAUCCUAUAGGAUACAUGUUAACAAAUAAGAAAAUCUUUUUCUCAAAACAUCAUUUUAGUGUUUAUUCAGAGUAGACAGUAACACCAGCAGAAUCACGGUCGUCUGUCUCUGUGAAGAUUCAUGUUUCCACAUUUUUAGCAUCACGGGUCUUCUAUCAGUUUUGCUGCAGCUGUAUUGUUGUGAUGAACCUAUAAAGUGUAAAGAGAAAUAAAAAAAUGUAAACGAAUUGCCACAUAUUCUCUGUUCUCGUCAGUGCUGUUCCAGAUUAAAUGCUGUUGUUCGACAUUAUAAAAGCUGUGCUGAUGGUGUUUUACCUCUGUGGCAUUUCCAGCAUGAGUAGCAUUAUUUGGAUGAAGAUGCAAGGUCUUGUUCUGAAAUGUGUUGGAUUACAUUAGGUACAGAUCUUUAAACCCAACCCUUCCCCAACAUCUAAAUAAAAUAUAACCUGCACAAAUAAACAAAUAAUUUUAUACAUCAGAAGGCAACAUUGCAGACAGAGGACAGCUACAAGUACCUGGGGAUCCCACAGGCAAAUGGGAACCAUGAAGAGGUCAUUAGGAAACCUGCAACCACCAAGUACCUGCAGAGGGUCAGGCAAGUCCUGAUGAGUCAACAGAAUGGGAAGAACAAGAUCCGGGCUAUCAGCGCCUGUGAUCAGGUACCCUCCUGGGAUAAUAAGCUGGCCAAAGGAGGAGAUAGAAGCCACUGACAUCAAGACAAGGAAGCUCCUGACUCUGCAUGGAGGGUUUCACCCCAAGUCCAGCACCCUGAGGCUGUACGCUAAACGGAAGGAAAGAGGCCGGGGACUGGUCAGUGUCAGCACCACAGUCCAGGAUGAAACAAUGGACAUCCAUGAAUGCAUCAGGGAGAUGGCCCCAACUGACUGCGUGCUCAGUGAAUACGUCAGGCAGCAGAAACCCAAGAAUGAGGAGGAAGAGGAGGCACCAUCAUGGAAGGACAGGCCCCUGCACAGUAUGUACCACAGGCAGAUAGAGGAAGUAGCUGGCAUCCAGAAAUGGAUCGGACAAUUGGACAAAGCUGGACUGAAAGACAGCACAGAGGCACUAAUCAUGGCAGCACAGGAACAAGCUCUGAGCAUAAGAUCCAAAGAGGCUGGGGUCUAUCACACCAGGCAAGACCCCAGGUGCAGGCUGUGUAAAGAUGCCCCAGAGACAAUCCAGCCCAUAACAGCAGGGUGCAAGAUGGUAGCAGGCAGGGCAUACAUGGAGCGCCAUAACCAAGUGGUCGGCAUACAGAAACAUCUGUGCCGAAUACGGCCUGGAAGUCCCGAGGUCAAAAUUUUUAAAUAACCUUAGACAAAGCACAUAACAACAAAUAAGAGACACUUAACAAAUAAAGGAAACUUUUCUCACAACAGACUUUUAAUGAUUAUUUAGGUAAGACAGUAACAAGAGCAGAAUCACGGUCGUCCACCUUUGCUUCCACUGAAAUGUUCUGAGGAACAGUCUGUAAAUUACACAGAGGGAAAAAAAAUCAAAUGAUUUCACUUAACUGUCACAAAAUCACACCUAUGGCCAGGUUUUUGUGAUACUUUUAUCUUUUUUAAGACAUUUGUUUUAAAAUACAAUUUUUCAAGGCACUUUUGGUAAUUUUCUUUAAAAAAAAAAAAAAAAGAAAGAAAUUAUGACAAAUUAUAGAUAUAUAAAUAUAGUGUUGUUGAUGGUGUUUUACCUGUGUGUCAUUUCCCCCAGCUGAUUCUGUUCCAUCACGUGUACCUUCAAAGCUAUUCCAGCACCCAUGGCACAACUGAAAUUUAUUGAUUUAUAUUAGUUACAGGCCUUUGUACUUCACUUUUCUAUCAACAUUGAAAUAAAAUGUAAUCUACACAAAUAUACAUUUAUACAUGAAAUACGUAUUCAUUAUUUACAUAAAUAAUUAUGAAAGACAAAGAAAUUCUAAGUCAGGUUUUAAGGUUAUACUAAUAUACAGUACAUCUGUGUCACUGUAGCAGUUUGAGCUUGUUGUGUUAGUAAAAAUGCUUUUAGGAGUCAAUAUAAAACAGAAUUCACACAAUUUGUGUAGAUAUCUGGCUACACAAAGUACUUGUUGAUGUGGAUGAUAAAUUGAUCUUAGAAGCAAAUAUAAAAAAUGAAUAUAAGUCUAAUUUUACUCCGUACUAGAUGAUCAAAGUCCCAACUCUGAAGCAAGUCAUAGAUCUGUUUAUUUUCCUGGUAUUUCAAGGCCCGGGGCAAAGAUUAUAUCCGUAAAAGGGGUUACAAAUAUAAUUCCAUACACCCCGUCAUGGGGCAAUUGUUAUUUAUUGUUGUUGUUUUUCAAUUAAAAAGACAUCUCAUGAUGAUAAGGAAUAGUCUCCGUUAUAUGUUAGUAAAUAGAGUCCAGAUUGACCUCUUUAAUAGUGAAAAAUAUUAAGUCUUUGUUGUGAAAGUUCAAUAUAGUUUGGUAGUUUUUCAAAGAUUUAAUUUAAUUUUUAUCUUACCACUGAGAUUAUGGUCUUUUUUGAGUUGCGUUCAUUACGGACCAGUAAUGAAAGUGGAUGACAUUUAUAAUAACGUAUAAAGCUCAAAAUUUAAUAUGGCAGAUUUGUAAUAUAUAUUUUCAACAUUUACAUUUUUAUCCCAGCGCUGGAACAGGUAGAAAAACAAAAUAAAAUAUAAUCAGUAAUUUAUUUAUUUUUUUACAUAUUUAUUUUGACUUACAUUAUUCUUUGCUGGUGCUGUGCUUCCUUCAUGCAGCUGAAAUUAAAAUGAAUAACACUUUCAGAACACUUUCACAGAAUCCUACAAUAUAAAGCCAAAAUGCAGGGCUGGAGGUGUCAUGGUCCUGGGUCGGUGACCCAGCGCUUUAAGUUCAUUAUUAUCAUUCUUCUAGUUUAUUCUGAUUUUGUAUUUGUUCUUAGGGUUUGAGUUGUGUGUUUCUAUCAUCCCUACCUGUGUUCUGUUCGUGUCCCCAGUUGGUUGUGUAAAACAGUCUGUGUGUUUCCUGUUUUACUUUGUAGGUUUGUGUCUCAUUAUGUCCAUUAGUUCCAGCUGUGUCCCGGCCUGUCUGCCAUUUCCUAAUUACCUGGUGUGUGUAUUUAUACUGCGUGUCUGCCUGUGCUCCUCGUCGUGUUGUCUGUGUUCGUCCUCCGUGUUACCCUGCGUACUCUGCAUUACUCUAUGUCUCCUCUAUGUGCUCUCCCUGCAGUUCUCCUCUCGUGUUUCAGGUUUGCUACUCUUUAGUUUAGUUUCUCCCAGUUUAGUUCAUCCUUGGUUCUGUUUUGCCAUCCCCACUUUAUGUUCAGUAUUCUUAAUAAAUCACCCUCACGUCUUAAUAAGUGCUGCAUUUGAGUCCUCCUUCCUCACCUCACACGGCCACUGCCCCGAGCCGUGACAGGAGGUUUUUAUUUUUCCCUGUUUUUUUUAAAUAAUGUUUUUCACUCUAUGUUUGAAGGUUAUUUCAAAUCAAACAACGCAUCAAAAUAAUAAAGUUAAUCUCAGUUAAUCAGCUGCAGCAUGAGACACACUUCAGCUGAUUCUUGAUGAUAAAUAUAUCUAAAUAAAUAUUUAUGUAGACUGUCAUUUGUUAUAAGCUUUCAACAUAUCUGUGAACAUCAAACAGUGAUAUGAUAUUUUCUUACCGAAGCUGUGAGAAUGAAUCCCACCAAACAGAGCAGUGUGAGUCCUCUCAUUUUGUAAUCAGCCUCCAGUGAGCGUUUAGACCUGUUUUAUAAUGCAUGUGUUUGUAGGUGGAGGCUGUUUUACUUCAGCUCUUGUUUAACAUCAAAGUUCAAAUUUGUUCAGAUUUGUUUGCUUACCUGCCCAAAGUCUGUUUUAUUCUCAACAACAGGGCAGAUGUUAAUUUGGUGAGGCUGAGUGCUCUCAUGGGCGUCCCCUCUAAUUAUGACUUUAUUUGAAAUAUAUUGAAAUAUUUUAACGUCUGUUAGUUAUCUAUUUUUUUUAAAAUCAAGGCAUCUUUGUUAGAAUUCCCCACUCGCCCCUGCGGGCGGUCUAUCCUCGGGUCCUCUACCAGAGGCCUGGGAGCUUGAGGGUCCUGCGCAGUAUCUUAGCUGUUCCUAGGACUGCGCUUUUCUGGACAGAGAUGUCCAAUGUUGUUCCCGGGAUCUGCUGGAGCCACUCGCCUAGCUUUAGAGUCACUGCACCUAGUGUUUCGAUUACCAGUGGGAACCUUCACCCUCCACAUCUUCUCUGAGCCCUUGGUAUUUCUCAAGCUUCUCAUUAUCCUUCUUCCUGAUGUUGCUGAUGUUGGGAACCGCUACAUCGAUCACUACAGCCAUCUUCUUCAGUUUGUCUACCACGACUAUGUCCGGUUGGUUAGCCACCACCAUUUUGUCCGUCUGUAUCCGGAAUUCCCACAGGAUCUUAGCUCGGUCAUUCUCCACCACCCUACAUGUUAUAAUAGACUUUUCUAUUAUAAGGAAGUCCCAUUUUGACUUCGGGACUUCCAGGCCAUAGUCGGCACAGAUGUUUCUGUAUGCCGGCCACUUGGUUAUGGCGUUCCAUGUAUGCCCUGCCUGCUAGCAUCUUACACCCUGCUGUUAUGGGCUGGAUUGUCUCAGGGGCAUCUUUGCACAGCCUGCACCUGGGGUCUUGCCUGGUGUGAUAGACCCCAGCCUCUAUGGAUCUUGUGCUCAGAGCUUGUUCCUGUGCUGCCAUGAUUAGUGCCUCUGUGCCGUCUUUCAGUCCAGCUUUGUCCAGCCACUGGUAGGAUUUCUGGAUGCCAGCCACUUCCUCUAUCUGCCUGUGGUACAUACCGUGCCGUACCAUCCUUCCAUGAUGGUUCCUCCUCUUCCUCAUGUUUCUGUUGCCUGAGGUAUUCACUGAGCACGCGGUCAGUUGGGGCCAACAGACAUCCACGAAUGCAUCAGGAAGAUGCAUUCAUCGAUGUCCGUUGGCCUUCUUCCUUCCGUUUAGCGUACAGCCUCAGGGUGCUGGACUUGGGGUGAAACUCUCCAUGCACGGUCAGGAGUUCCUUGUCUUGAUGUCAGUGGCUUCUAUCUCCUUCUUUGGUCAGCUUAUUAUCCCAGAAGGGUACCUGAUCACGGGCAGGGGGUAGGUGUUGAUAGCCCGGAUCUUGUUCUUCCCAUUCUGUUGACUCCUCAGGACUUGCCUGACCCUCUGCAGGUACUUUUCUACAGACCUCUUCAUGGUUCCCAUGUACCUGCUGGGAUCCCCAGGUAAUUGUGGCUGUCCUCUGUGCCUGCAAUGUUGCAUUCUGGUAGUUCGAUCCCCUCAGUUCUGACUACCUUCCCUCUCUUUGUUAUCAUCCAACUACAUUUCUCCAGUCAAACGACAUUCCGAUGUCAUUUCUGUAUAUACUGGUGGUGUGGAUCAGUCUCAUUCACUCUUGGCAUACAGCUUGAUGUCAUCCAUGUACAGGAAGUGGCUGACAACUGCUCCACUCUGUAGUCGGUAUCCAUAGCCAGUCUUGUUGAUGAUCUCACUGAGGGGGUUCAGCCCUAUGCAGAACUAUGCAGUAUAUUUCUAGGCAUUCCAGGAUCCAGGUGCGGGGCAUUGAGUCAUAUAUACAUAUACAUAUACAUAUGUAUAUGUAUAUGUAUCUAUCUGUCUAUCUAUCUAUCUAUCUAUAUACAUACAUACAUACAUAUAUAUCUAUAUAUAUAUAUAUAUAUAUAUAUAUAUAUAUAUAUAUAUA